CGGGUAUAGCUCAAUUGGCUAGAGCAUCUGCCUUCCAAGCAGAGGGUUGUGGGUUCGAGCCCCAUUACCC
This 70-nucleotide transfer RNA is filed under the name human oral metagenome. It matches the Rfam family "tRNA". From Rfam's summary of the family: Transfer RNA (tRNA) molecules are approximately 80 nucleotides in length. Their secondary structure includes four short double-helical elements and three loops (D, anti-codon, and T loops). The record is from RNAcentral.